RNAcentral lists this ribosomal RNA (497 nucleotides) under uncultured bacterium. Its description in RNAcentral is "partial 16S ribosomal RNA". It matches the Rfam family "Bacterial small subunit ribosomal RNA", at positions 28 to 507 of the family's 1533-position model. The record is from RNAcentral.
GAUGAACGCUGGCGGCGUGCCUAACACAUGCAAGUCGAGCGAACGGACGAGACGCUUGCUUCUCUCAUGUUAGCGGCGCACGUGUGAGUCACACGUGUAUACCCUCCCUAUCAGACUGGUAUAACUUCGGGAAACCGGAGCUAAUCCCGUAUAAUAUUUUGAACCGCAUGGUUCAAUAGUGAAAUACGGCCUUGCUGUCACUUAUAGCUGGAUCUGCGCUGCAUUAGCUAGUUGUUAAGGUAACGGCUUACCAAGGCAACGAUGCAUAGCCGACCUGGGAGGGGGGUCGGCCACACGGGAAGUGAGACGCGGUCAAGACUACUACGGGAGGCAGCAGUAGGGAAUCUUACGCAGUAGGCGGAAGCCUGACGGAGCAAGGCGGCGUGAGUGAUGAAGGUGUUCGGAUCGUAAAAAUCUGUUAUGAGGGAAGAACAUAUGUGUAAGGAACUGUGCACAGCGUGACGGUAACUAAUAAGAAAGCAACGGCUAACUACGUG